UCAUGAACAACGCAAAGCGCGGAAAGCGCAUAACACUGACGUUAAAAGCAUUUUCGAUUUGAGACGCCUCUUCGUGAUGGCUCCAUGAAAACGAAAACCGUCUGUUCAGUGGAGAAUAGAGUAGUAUAGGGUUAUGGGUGACGUUCUCUCCUGCCUUCGGGCUCAUGGGGGGAAGGUCAAUGACCUUUCGCACAU
Molecule: small RNA, 195 nt
Organism: Aureobasidium namibiae CBS 147.97
Lineage: Eukaryota; Fungi; Ascomycota; Dothideomycetes; Dothideales; Saccotheciaceae
Rfam family: A. fumigatus sRNA Afu_182
Source: Rfam